GGGGAACUUGAAGCCUCAAUAAACUGCGAAGAGUGAACUGUCUAAGUGGACUUUCGAGCAAACAUCUAGACAAACAAACUCUAGCUAGUCCAUGGGUUCC
Non-coding RNA from Durio zibethinus, 100 nucleotides. The record is from RefSeq and is a predicted model, not a curated record. Lineage: Eukaryota; Viridiplantae; Streptophyta; Magnoliopsida; Malvales; Malvaceae.